GGAGGGGGCUGCGCGGGGAGUCCCCCCGGCACGGCGGGGCUGCCUCACACCGUCCCCGACCUCCUCCCGCCGCCCGCCCCGCCGCGCACCGGGGCGGCCCUGCGCGGCGGCCACCGGUGAGGAGCUCAUGGGCUAUGGCUGAGCACCAGGCAGCCCCAGGAUCUGCUGGAAUUCAGGGAGAGCUCCUGGCAGGGACACCUGAGGUUCAGCCUCCUGCUGGCACCGGGUCAGGGCCCUGUGCAGAAGAGUCAAAGCAGGAAAGAAGGCCAGAAGAGAAGAUGGCAGGCCACGAGGAUGAAAUCAAAAUAGAAGCAAGAAGUCAAGUGGCAGAAAAUUGUCUAUUAGACAAAUUUUUAAAAAGUCCUCACUAAGAACCUGUCAGACAAA
Onychostruthus taczanowskii (white-rumped snowfinch) is the source of this 387-nucleotide long non-coding RNA. RefSeq lists it as uncharacterized. The record is from RefSeq and is a predicted model, not a curated record. The transcript has 2 exons. Lineage: Eukaryota; Metazoa; Chordata; Aves; Passeriformes; Passeridae.